GCAGUAUUUUGUAAUUCUGUAAUUUGUAAAGAUCUUUUAUCUCCCUGGUUAGCUGUAUUCUUAGAUAUUUUAUUCGGUUUGUGGCUGUUGUGAAUGGGAUUGGUUUGGCCUUCAGCUUGAAUGUUCUUGGUCUAUAGAAAUGCAACUAAUUUUUGUGCGUUAAUUUAUAACAGGCAGUUUUAUUGUGAACAAGCUCUAAGGAAAACAUCCAUUAUAAUCUAUCAAUCUCUUUAAAGAUUUGGUCAGAGAUAGACAAGUAAUCUUUCCUCUGUGAAAUCUCCAGGACCUUAAAUAAUGUAAUUAGAGUGAAUUUUUAUUAUGUUAUUUGAUAUCUAUCUAUCUUGUUACAUUUAACCAUUAACUUUAAAUAGCUCCAGAUUUUUCUUGUUUGUUUGACUGGACUUAUUUCCACUGACCACAGGAGGGUGUUGGUGAGCUUAGAACAGGAGUAUUUCAAAUAAAUAUUAGAACUUCAACAACUAAUGACACAUCCUUAUCAUUUCACUAUCUUUGGAAGUUAUAAUUUAAAAGCAUAGCCACUAGGCUAGCCAGAAAUCUUGAGUCAAUGCCAUUUCUAUUAGACGAUCUUUUGGCUAUCAAGUAAAAGGCUUUUAUGAAAGAAUUCAGAAAGUUUACUGAGGUAUUGUAGCACAGAGAAAUUUCCUCUGACUAAAAAUUAAGAAAUCCAAAUCUUCUUCCUGGUUCCACCACUAGUGUGUGGCUUUAAGUAGUCACUUCACCUCUCUGGGCCUUAAUUUCUUUUUUUAUAAAAUGAGGUAGAUUGUAAGCUGAUCCUUCAGGUCCUUCCACAAAAGGCAACAAUGAAUAGAGGGUCUAAAAGUAAAACAUACACAUCAAAGAACUUCUCCAUCCUAGUGAUUCUUUUUUUAAUUAACUGCUAAGCAUGUGCUAGCUGCUUCUAAUACAUUCUCUCACAUGAUCAUUACAACCACCAUUCAGGUGUAUAUAUAAUUGCUCCCAUUCUGAGGUUAGGGGUAAAUAAUUUGCCCAGGCUCAUUCUGCUAGCAAAGAACAAAACUGAGAUUUCAGCCUAGGUUUCUCUAACUCAGAAGCCUAUGUUUGUAUUCCUCUUCCCCACGUGGCUUCCCUAGGACCAAAAGAUUAGUUUUAAUGGAAGUUGUGCCCUUAGAGAAGAAAACAGAUGUCUCUGCCUAGCAGAAUUUAGACUAAAUUCUUAUCGGUUUCAGAUAAGCAAUGUGGUUGGGGACACAGGCCAGCAGGAUCUCAGGUGAACAGGAAGUGGUGCCCCAUGUAGGAAGGCAGUCACUACCUAGCUGUUGCCAUGUGAGAAUAUGGCCCGUUUGGCCUUAUCCUCCCAUUUUCAAGAGAAGACCAAAAUCUAGAUUUUUAACUGAAAUCUCAUUAAUUUGAAAUUUUAGCAGUAAAUUCAGAAUUUUUCACAUUGUGAGUAAUGACAGUACACACAUUUGUGGGAUGGCAGGAUCCAGAGAGAUCUCAUUUCUCUCACCAGGGUCGGAGCAGGGUUGAGAAAUGAAGUGCCAUUCUCUUCCAGGCUUUUCUUGAGUUGCUAAAUGUACUUACAUGCUCUGUAAGACUACCUUAGGUUCCUGAAGCAAUUAAAACAGGGACUGGCAAAUUGCACCAUCUCUUUUUGUAAGGCACGCAAGCUAAGAUAAAAAAAAAAAAAAAAAAAAAAAAACAAAUUUAAUAGUU
This is a long non-coding RNA of Sapajus apella (tufted capuchin), 1695 nucleotides long. RefSeq lists it as uncharacterized. NCBI's taxonomy places the organism in Eukaryota, Metazoa, Chordata, Mammalia, Primates, Cebidae. The transcript has 2 exons. The record is from RefSeq and is a predicted model, not a curated record.